AACGUAGGUGGCGAGCGUUAUCCGGAUUUACUGGGCGUAAAGCGCUUGUAGGUGGUUUUGUAAGUUGGGCGUGAAAUCCCCGGGCUCAACCUGGGAACUGCAUUUGGGACUGCAAGGCUAGAGUACGGCAGAGGGGGUAGAAUUCCUGGUGUAGCAGUGAAAUGCGUAGAUAUCAGGAGGAAUACCGAUGGCGAAGGCAGCCCCUGGGUCGAUACUGACGCUCAUGCACGAAGCGUGGGAGCAACAGG
Molecule: ribosomal RNA, 248 nt
Filed under: uncultured bacterium
Lineage: Bacteria
Description: partial 16S ribosomal RNA
Rfam family: Bacterial small subunit ribosomal RNA
Source: RNAcentral